This 216-nucleotide ribosomal RNA is filed under the name Glomeromycotina sp. Its description in RNAcentral is "partial small subunit ribosomal RNA". The stretch from base 46 to 216 matches the Rfam family "Eukaryotic small subunit ribosomal RNA", at positions 692 to 864 of the family's 1831-position model. Lineage: Eukaryota; Fungi; Glomeromycota. The record is from RNAcentral.
GGGUCAGUAGGUUGGUCGUGCCACCGGUACGUACUGGUCUCACCGAUUCCUCCUUCCUGAAGAACCGUAAUGCCAUUAAUUUGGUGUUGCGGGGAAACAGGACUGUUACUUUGAAAAAAUUAGAGUGUUUAAAACAAGCUAACGCUUGAAUACAUUAGCAUGGAAUAAUGAAAUAGGACGAUCGAUCCUAUUUUGUUGGUUUCUAGGAUUGACGUA